UAGGGUCCAAAUUAAUAUUUUAGAAUGUAAAAUAUUGAAAACACUUUAAGCUUAACAUAUGAGAUUUGUUUUUGGUUCUACACUCCACUAGGACUACUAUCACCCAAAAAUACUGACGAUCUAAAAUUAUGAUUUAAACAUUUUGAAGAGUCAAUCAAGAGAAAAUCAAUUAUACAGCUAACACAAAAGGGAAACAAUUAAAUCAUGUCUUCAAGAGUAGGGACUCCAAGUGGCAAUAGUGUAUGUUAACUGAUGACCAAAAAUCCAAAAACCAAAUCAUUUUAAAUUCAUGUUGAAAUGAUCAACAGAUGUUCUCCUACUUCUUUUUUUAUUAACGUGGAAUAUCAUGAGCAUAUAUAGAAAUGAAAGUGCAUCCCAUAGAUAUACCCUCUCUCCUGGUAUUCAUAUGGGGCAAAAACAAAUGUCCAAAUCCAUAUAAGAUGUAUGAAAUUUAAUUUCACAUAAUAAGUGAAUCGAACCUGAAGCGUUCUGGCAUACCAAAUCCUUCUCUUUAUCACUUGACCACAAAAUCCUGGACCUCCUAUUUAUAAUCUGUUAGUAACAUAUUACUUGUGCAAGCGAAAAAAGAAAACAACUUUUAACCAAAAAAAAAAAAAAUCUCAGUAAAACCUUCUUGAAAUAUGGCAAACUAAAGUUAAUUUUCCUUUUACCACCAGAUGCAGUAAUUAAACUACGGGUUUAAAACAUAAGUUGAUAAAAAAAAGUUGGUCUUCUAAUCUAUCUCAGUAUUAGUAAAGGUUGGUUCGGAUCAAUCAUGGGAUUAGGGUCCAUGUCCAAACCCAUCCUUGAAAAAACAAAAUCUGUAUCUAUAUACACUACAAGAAAACACAAGUUUUACGAGGGCAGUUUUCCUCGUGACUUCGUCGUAAAAG
RNAcentral lists this long non-coding RNA (893 nucleotides) under Brassica rapa (field mustard). Its description in RNAcentral is "long non-coding RNA (BRAP_LNC007028)". Lineage: Eukaryota; Viridiplantae; Streptophyta; Magnoliopsida; Brassicales; Brassicaceae. The record is from RNAcentral.